Molecule: ribosomal RNA, 484 nt
Filed under: uncultured bacterium
Lineage: Bacteria
Description: partial 16S ribosomal RNA
Rfam family: Bacterial small subunit ribosomal RNA
Source: RNAcentral
AUUGAACGCUGGCGGCAGGCCUAACACAUGCAAGUCGAGCGGAUGAAGGGAGCUUGCUCCUGGAUUCAGCGGCGGACGGGUGAGUAAUGCCUAGGAAUCUGCCUGGUAGUGGGGGAUAACGUCCGGAAACGGGCGCUAAUACCGCAUACGUCCUGAGGGAGAAAGUGGGGGAUCUUCGGACCUCACGCUAUCAGAUGAGCCUAGGUCGGAUUAGCUAGUUGGUGGGGUAAAGGCCUACCAAGGCGACGAUCCGUAACUGGUCUGAGAGGAUGAUCAGUCACACUGGAACUGAGACACGGUCCAGACUCCUACUGGAGGCAGCAGUGGGGAAUAUUGGACAAUGGGCGAAAGCCUGAUCCAGCCAUGCCGCGUGUGUGAAGAAGGUCUUCGGAUUGUAAAGCACUUUAAGUUGGGAGGAAGGGCAGUGAGUUAAUACCUUGCUGUUUUGACGUUACCAACAGAAUAAGCACCGGCUAACUUCGUG